This 579-nucleotide long non-coding RNA is filed under the name Rattus norvegicus (Norway rat). RNAcentral's name for it is "long non-coding RNA NONRATT033984". The record is from RNAcentral. Lineage: Eukaryota; Metazoa; Chordata; Mammalia; Rodentia; Muridae.
CUCCGCCCGGUCCUAGCGCCCGCCCUGACGCCCGAGCCGCUCUGCCGCAGGCCGGGCACAGGCGGGCUGAGCGCGGGACUUCACGGGGAAACCCGAGUCCUAGGAAACCGGCUUUAGAGACGCCGGAGACGCGGUGCCAGAGAGGGGAAGCAGCAGCCCUGGAGACGUUCGGCCGCCUGAGAUCUAGCUCGCUAAAGGCACAGGGCAGUCACUGGACUCCCAGGGCUAACCUCUUCAAGGUUGCUUCAGAGCUGUACCAUAACUACAGGCUCUCUACAUCAGCUUCUGGGCUGUUUUUAGCAGUACUCUUCAAUGAUUCACAAGAUGGUGGCUUUGCUUUCUAGACACACGUGGUACAACCCACUCACUGGCUCCAUUGCACCUGCCUGGGAUAGCAUCUGUCACUUUAGUGCCUGGGCCCAGACUGGAAUAAAGGAUGAGACCUCUAGGAGCCUAUAACAAGGAAUGAGUCUACAGAUCUGUAACAUGGCGUCCAACAUUCUACCUAUGCUUAUUGUGGUUAUAUGCUGCCCCCCUCUUCAUGGGCCCUCAUGAGUUGCUGUGCACCCUGGCUUAGAU